CACGCCGCGGGAAUACAGAGGGUGCGAGCGUUAAUCGGAUUUACUGGGCGUAAAGCGUGCGUAGGCGGCUAAUUGAGUCGGAUGUGAAAUCCCCGAGCUUAACUUGGGAAUUGCAUUCGAUACUGGUUAGCUAGAGUGUGGGAGAGGAUGGUAGAAUUCCAGGUGUAGCGGUGAAAUGCGUAGAGAUCUGGAGGAAUACCGAUGGCGAAGGCAGCCAUCUGGCCUAACACUGACGCUGAGGUACGAAAGCAUGGGGAGCAAACAGGAUUAGAUACCCCCGUAGUCCCUGUCUCUUAUACAC
This 301-nucleotide ribosomal RNA is filed under the name uncultured bacterium. Its description in RNAcentral is "partial 16S ribosomal RNA". It matches the Rfam family "Bacterial small subunit ribosomal RNA", at positions 512 to 809 of the family's 1533-position model. The record is from RNAcentral.